UGGUCGGUAGUGUAAUGGUAGCAUAUGAGACUGUCCCUCUUAAGGCUCGGGUUCGAUCCCCGGCUGACCAG
Molecule: non-coding RNA, 71 nt
Organism: Tritrichomonas musculus
Lineage: Eukaryota; Parabasalia; Tritrichomonadida; Tritrichomonadidae
Source: the annotation of a GenBank genome assembly